RNAcentral lists this unclassified non-coding RNA (674 nucleotides) under uncultured fungus. RNAcentral describes it as "partial contains ITS1, 5.8S rRNA, ITS2, 28S rRNA". The record is from RNAcentral. Lineage: Eukaryota; Fungi.
GGCUUGGGGUCUACCUGAUUUGAGGUCAGAAGUCAAAAGGGUUUGUCGCCGAGAUGCGACAGUUAGAAGCGCGGAUUUAUAUCGCCCCAAACACAGUGCAGAUAAUUAUCACACUGAGCAUGAAAGCGAACAUCCACACUAAUGCAUUUGAGAGGAGCUGGGCCUUUUUUUUCCCUCGAGAGGGAGGACGGCCAGCAAAAGACCUCCAAGUCCAAUAUCGCCCGGAAUCCCGCAAGAGACCCAGGGAAUUGAGAAUACCAUGACACUCAAACAGGCAUGCUCCUCGGAAUACCAAGGAGCGCAAGGUGCGUUCAAAGAUUCGAUGAUUCACUGAAUUCUGCAAUUCACAUUACUUAUCGCAUUUCGCUGCGUUCUUCAUCGAUGCGAGAGCCAAGAGAUCCGUUGCUGAAAGUUGUAUUAAAAUGUGUAUAGACACACAUACGAACAUUCUCAAACUGAUUUCAAGGUUUGUAAGAAAAAAAAAAGGCCACAGAAAAGCUCUUAGCGACCAGAACUGAUCGCCGCAAGCCAUUUAUUUCCGUGAAAAGUGCACAAAGGUGUGAGAUGUAUUGACGAGCCAGGCGUGCACAUGCCCCCCAAAAGAAAGGCCAGCCACAGCCCCACUCGAUUUGGAGUUUCAAUAAUGAUCCUUCCGCAGGUUCACCUACGGAAGG